This is a long non-coding RNA of Camelus dromedarius (Arabian camel), 4238 nucleotides long. RefSeq lists it as uncharacterized. NCBI's taxonomy places the organism in Eukaryota, Metazoa, Chordata, Mammalia, Artiodactyla, Camelidae. The record is from RefSeq and is a predicted model, not a curated record. The transcript is spliced from 5 exons.
UGAAACCCGAGCUGCCCUUACCAUGCUUCCAGGUGCGAAGGACCCGCUGCCAGGACCAUCAAGGCCGUCCACGCCGUGGGACUCAGACACCAUCUUUCUCACUUUCCAGAGGAGGAAUAUGGGCAGGGGAAUGUCUGGGCUGGUCAGGUGACUUGGCAAGACCCAGGAAAAGGCUGGACCUAGGACUGACCCCAGAGUUUCUACACCCAAAGCGCCACGGUGCUUUGAUGGCUGCACUUAGGCAGGCAAUUUAGGAUAGACAGACUCGCAGAAGGCGGGGAAAGCUGGUGGUGAUGGAGCACAGCUAAGAUACUGUAGAGGGUCUUGCUGUAAGAAAGAGAAUCUGGUAUUUCUGGGAACUGUGCCUGUAAGUGGUGGUGAUGCGUCUGCGGGAAUCACAGGACAGGCUGUGGAAACAGUGAACCCCUAAGAUUCAGGACUUUUCGUUAGGGUGUUUGGAGGCUGAAAGUUCCGCCUUUUCGACUCUUCAGAUGAAGGGAAAAAGGGCUAGGCCCUUGGAGCCGGGAAGACAAGGAGAUGCAUGUUCCCCCUACCUGCCAAUUGAUAACGAUCCACCCCCACCCCUUGGUAUCUCCUAGUAGCCAGGACCUGAGUGUGUACUCACGUGGCUUGCGCAUCGGUUCAGCAUCCAUCUCUGUGACUGUCUCACAGGGACCCGCAGGAGGCUCCGAUCCCUCCUGCCUUCUGUCGCCGCCGCCGCCACCACCGCAACUACCCGUAUUGUGAACUUCCGAGCCUAGAGGUUCUGGGACCAGGCUCAGAAACUGCAGACCCAAGGUCUGGGAUAGCCUCCCAGCCUCCCCGACUGAGCUUUCCUCUGGGCCAUCCCUGCGAGCCAGGUUACCAGGGCCCAGUGACCAGACCGCGGACCCCUAUUGGUUCCUGCAGAAACCACGUGUUAACCCAGCAUCUUCCUCCCACAAACUUUUUUUCUCGGGCCCUUCUAAUUCCUCUCCAACCCCCAGCCACCUUCUGGAAGGUUUGGUUUAUACUGACCGUUCUUAAAAGCAAGGAAAACGGGAGAGUGCGCGCGGCUCGUACCUCAGUGAAUACGGUACAAACGGGAGCUUCCGAGGUCAGCCCAGUGUUCCCCCGGGACUCUCCUAGAGGGUGUGCAGGAGUGGGCGGGUGUGUGUGGGUGGAACCCUUGCUCUGCAACCCGAGCCAGUCCUUCCGGCCAGGUCUUAGCUCAACUCCCCUCUCUUGGCAGAGGAAAACUCAGGUGGAGACCACUGGGCACCGGAGGUAGCGGAGGUGCAAGAAGGAGUUAUAGUGCGCGCAAGGCCAACCAGGGUCAGGCGGCUGGGAGCUCCUUCCAGGGAGUAGAGGCUAGACCCAGGAGGAGCAAGCCUUAACCUACUAAGAUGGAAAUGUCUCGCUUAAAGUCGAGUCCGGGUCUGGAAAGCCAGGAUCUGCCACUUCCCAGGAGGAGCAUCUUAGCCCCAGAGCGAAGAAAGGGCAUGGGAGCUAUAUUGGGGGUGCCCCCAGGCCACUUUGCAGGUUCCGCUAGAGGGUGGGGACGAGGAAAGGUAAUAGCCCCCGCCAGCGAGAAGGUGCGGGGCAGGGGCUCACCUUGCUCUUCAAGACCCCAAGUUUCUUCUUUUUCUCCCCUUGACGUCCUUAAAGUUGAUUGUCUUGAGCGGGCCUGCGUGUGUAUACGAACGCGGCGACUCCCGAAGGGAUGGGAUGUUUUGACGAGGAUUAGAUCUUCAGAAAAGCCCCUUGAACACGGCCGGCACCGAGAAAAGAGAGGCAGCGUGUACAAUGCUUUUGAACAAGGAGGUGGAGUCAACAGGUCUAGCCCCGGCUCUGGAACACAUCAACCGCCACGUACACUUUGGAAAAAAUAAGGAAAAUUUGAAAAGAAAACAAGAUCCAUCCAGAGGUUUGCUGAGAGGGUCAAAUGAGAUUUUGGAAGUGGAAAACCUUUCUAGCCCGUCGCAAGCGGUGCAAAUACGAGUCUUCGUUACCGACGGGGCGGCCUGGGCUCAGCCUCCCCGGGGUGAACUUGGAGAGCAGCGCCCACAUCGCGCUCGCCCACCGCUCGCGGGAGAGAGGCAGCCCUCGGUGGGAACCCGCACCUCGGCUCCCGAGCUCUCAGCUCGCCCCCCUCGGGGUCACUUCCUGCGGCUCGGGACCCUCGGGCGAGGGGAACUUGGCGGCAAACCGUCCGGGCCUCCGAGCCCCCACUUUUCCUCCCCCUCCACCCUAGGGCGCACUGAGCCGCGAGCGGGAGAGUGGAACCGGCUGCGCCGAUCCGGUCCCUUCCAGGUCCAUUUAAAGUAAAGAACACAGAUGGUCCAAAACCACACAGCCACCAGAAGAAAAUUAGAAUCCAGGCUUUCUCAGCACUGAUGCUGGUUUUCUUUCUGCCGCGCUCCUGUGCUACAAACGCAAAGCCAUCGCCCUUCACAACUGUGCUGUUCCACUUUAAUUUCCUCAAGAGAAGAAAGGAAGAUUUGAGAAAAAAAAAAGGGGGGGGGGAUUGAGGAGGAGGACAAUCUGACCAAAAGAACUGGACUAUUUUACGUACAGUUCUCUUUCUGAUUUUUAACCCGUAUUUACAUCUCAACUCAUGGAUUCUCGAAAUAACUCUGUGAGGUGUGUAAAGCAGUCAUUAUUUCUAGUUUACAAAGGAAGAAACCAAGACAAAGAAAGAUUAAGAAACCUGUUUUGGGUCACACUUUUCUCCUCAUUUUCUGCAAGGUGCUCUUUUGUUUAGAGCACAGAGACCAAGAUAAAUGCAGUGGCUUAGUUACCAUCUUUUCUUACGUUUCUUCCCACUUCUUUGCUCAGUAUUUCUUAGCACACUCGUUUCUAAGAAAAAUUCACUAUAUACUUUUGCACUUCCUUGAAAUUAUUACUCCAAUAUUUCCCAAAUUAUUCCAUUCAAUUCAGUAGUAUUUUCUGAGUGCUCAUUACAUACAGGGAAUAUAAUCAUGUAAUCUGUCAACUACAGCAGGACAUUUUAAAAAGAAAGGAAACACUCACUGGAUGGGAUGUCAGGCAUAAACCACAGCUGCUCCAGGAAGCCCAGGACAUAUGGUCACCCUAUAUAGAAGGUACUUUGCAAGCACUCAGGACACAAAGAUAAAUAGCACACAUUCCAUAAUCCUCCAGGAAUAUUCAGUCCAAUAAGAGAGACAUAGUUGAUCUUCUGCUGUAGAAUGUCACCAGCACAGCUUCAUCUGUUGAACUUGCAUUAAUGUAUCUAAUUUCACCCACUUGAUGAAGGAAAACAUUUUUAUUUAUAAUGAUAUUGUCAUGAUCAACAUCUAUGGUGGGGAUCUGAUGGUCGUAUUUAACAGGCUGGUUGAUGACUGGCACGUGCUUUUUUCCGCUGCCACAAGGCAGGCGUACAUGCGGUCACGUGCUUAAGCCCCUCCCCUCCACUAGCACAGCCCCCACCCCCACCCCCACGAAUGGCGGCUGCUCCCAGCACUCAUUCCUUCUAAUAGGUACUCUUUCACGGUUUGCUUUUUUCACUUAACAAUAUACCCCAGAAAUCACACCCUAUUUGUUCAAAGAGAACUUCCUUAUUCUUUUUUUUUUACAGUUGUCUCAUAUAUCAUUGUGUGAAUGUACCAUAGUUUAUGUAAACAUUCUUCUCUGAAUGAGUUAGGUUUUCCCAGUAUUUUGCAAUUACAAACAAUGUUGUAAUGAAAGACAUUGUUGCUAUGUAUAGUCACACGGUUAGAGAUGUACUUUCAGCGCAUAUUCCUAGAAGUGGGGUUGUGGGUCAGAAGCAAAUGCAUGUUUAAUUUAUUUGGGCUUGCCAAGUUCCCCUCCAGAAUGAUUGUAGAGGCUUGCACUCCACCAGCCGUGGGUCAAAGUGCCUGCCUUUACUGUAGCAUCCCGUUCAAAAUAAUGUAUUACACCUUCUAAUUUUCACCAAUCUGACAGAUGAGAAAUGGUAUCUCAGUGUUGUUUUAAUUUGCAUUUCUUGGAUUAUGAGUGAGAUGGAACAUCUUUUUAUAUGUUUAAGCGAUAUUUAUACAUGUGUGUAUAUGUGUAUCUAUACAUGUACAUGUAUAAUUAAUUAUAUGUACAAAUUAAAAAAACACGUAAGUACAUAUACAUAAAUACACAUACAUUUAAAUUGGAAGAGACACAAUUUAAAUUCCUUUCCCCCACUGUUAAAUGAAUUUUUAAGAGUUUCUUUAUAUAUUAGUGAUUUGGGCUAUCUGCGCUAUAUGUUACAUGUAUUUCCUCCUGUU